This is a small nucleolar RNA of Dioscorea cayenensis subsp. rotundata (Guinea yam), 107 nucleotides long. The record is from RefSeq and is a predicted model, not a curated record. NCBI's taxonomy places the organism in Eukaryota, Viridiplantae, Streptophyta, Magnoliopsida, Dioscoreales, Dioscoreaceae.
AACCCAUGCUAAGGACAUUUUCGAAGAAGAUACAUGAACCUAUCCCAUGUCUCAAAAAGAGACUCAAAUUCUUUUUGCACAAAAGAAGAUAUACCAUUCCUAAGCUU